RNAcentral lists this ribosomal RNA (465 nucleotides) under Vreelandella stevensii. RNAcentral describes it as "partial 16S ribosomal RNA". It matches the Rfam family "Bacterial small subunit ribosomal RNA", at positions 338 to 795 of the family's 1533-position model. Lineage: Bacteria; Pseudomonadati; Pseudomonadota; Gammaproteobacteria; Oceanospirillales; Halomonadaceae. The record is from RNAcentral.
CCUACGGGUGGCUGCAGUGGGGAAUAUUGGACAAUGGGCGAAAGCCUGAUCCAGCCAUGCCGCGUGUGUGAAGAAGGCCUUCGGGUUGUAAAGCACUUUCAGUGGGGAAGAAAGCCUUGGGGCUAAUACCCUCGAGGAAGGACAUCACCCACAGAAGAAGCACCGGCUAACUCCGUGCCAGCAGCCGCGGUAAUACGGAGGGUGCGAGCGUUAAUCGGAAUUACUGGGCGUAAAGCGCGCGUAGGCGGUCUGAUAAGCCGGUUGUGAAAGCCCCGGGCUCAACCUGGGAACGGCAUCCGGAACUGGCAGGCUAGAGUGCAGGAGAGGAAGGUAGAAUUCCCGGUGUAGCGGUGAGAUGCGUAGAGAUCGGGAGGAAUACCAGUGGCGAAGGCGGCCUUCUGGACUGACACUGACGCUGAGGUGCGAAAGCGUGGGUAGCAAACAGGAUUAGAUACCCGGGUAGUC